This 716-nucleotide long non-coding RNA is filed under the name Phascolarctos cinereus (koala). RNAcentral describes it as "lncRNA (ENSPCIG00000026722.2)". Lineage: Eukaryota; Metazoa; Chordata; Mammalia; Diprotodontia; Phascolarctidae. The record is from RNAcentral.
GUAAUAAAAACUUCUGAGAGAUGUUGUUCUAAUGGGAAAGCAAGCAAGUUGCCAGUCACAGAUGGAGUACAGGAGAUCAUUGCAAUACUGCUGGACAUGAAGUUGUAAGUACCUGAAGUGGAACAGCUUGAGAGAAACUUCCUCAUCUUGACUAAAUGAGAGUAGAGGAGAAUCAGUGAAGAGCUGAGGCCAAGAUGAAAGAAAGGAUAGGAAGACCAAUACCCCAUUUAGGCUGAAGUCCAAUCAGGAUAAGUCUUCAGAUAUCAACACUGGAUUUAAGGAACAAAAAAAAAGCAUUCAUUCAACACUUACAAUAUACCAGCACAGUGGUAAGUGCCAGGGAUACAAAUGCGAGUAAGCAAGACAGUUCCUACCCUCAAGGAGCUUACAUUCUAAAUGAGAAAACAACACAUAUAGUUACAGUUGGAAAUGAAGGGGCAGUACAUGUGCAAUGGAAUGACAUUGAAAUGACCAGAAAGAGGAAGGGCAUGGUGGCCCUCAGAUCUGGAUUAGACAAGGAGAAAGCUCACCAAUCAGACAGAACUCAUGCUCACCAGGGUGGGAGGCAAGGAUUCAGGUGGGGGAUGCUGGUGCCAUGGUACAGAGACACAUCUUGUUGGGCCUAACACCAGGGCUAGAUGAGGAGAAAGUUCACCAGAGUCCAGAGUUUAGGGGCCUAGGAAAAAAGGUAAAUGGAAGUAAGUGGGCCACGUGGC